UCCGAAUUGGUGUAGUGGCUAACAUUUGACGCUCUCAUAACUGAGGAGUGCCGUCAAGCCCGGGGUUCGAUUCCCCGAUUCGGAG
This is a non-coding RNA of Nemania sp. FL0916, 85 nucleotides long. NCBI's taxonomy places the organism in Eukaryota, Fungi, Ascomycota, Sordariomycetes, Xylariales, Xylariaceae. The record is from the annotation of a GenBank genome assembly.